CCUGCCUCGGCCUCCCAAAGUGCUGGGAUUACAGGUAUCAGCCACUGCGCCCAGCCAAAAAAAAGUUCUGUUAACUAAAGUUUUCAGGAUUCUAAUCCUGUUCAUUAUGUCUGCUGACUCAGAGGAAAUAUUUCCUUAUGUUUUGUAAUUUUUAAUGGUGAGUUCAUUUUAGGUAAAGCUUCGUCUAUGAAAUGUCUGUAUAGUUUGGGUUGACAGAUAAUUAUUUCCAAGUCUUGCAUUUUCUCUCACAAGGCAUCCCAGGAGAACCAGCACCCCCAAAGUGCUUUUUAAUAUUUUUCUGUUUGCAGAUCCUGAUGCAUUAUCCCUAAACUCAAGAGCGGUAUAGGUAAAUAAUUAUGUUUUGUGAGGCUUCUUUUUGGGUUCAACUGUGACACCAAGCUCAGAUGGCCAACUUUCCCUGUCAUCUAUUAAUUAGAUAGAUGUCCACCUGUCCUUUCCCUGGGGUUGUAGUCCCUUUUUUUUUUUUUUUUUUUUG
RNAcentral lists this long non-coding RNA (496 nucleotides) under Homo sapiens (human). Its description in RNAcentral is "HSALNT0390953". Lineage: Eukaryota; Metazoa; Chordata; Mammalia; Primates; Hominidae. The record is from RNAcentral.